Solanum pennellii is the source of this 942-nucleotide long non-coding RNA. RefSeq lists it as uncharacterized. The record is from RefSeq and is a predicted model, not a curated record. The transcript has 5 exons. Lineage: Eukaryota; Viridiplantae; Streptophyta; Magnoliopsida; Solanales; Solanaceae.
CUCCAAUAUUUUUAACACUCCCUCCCAUUUUUAUUGGCCAAAAAAAAUAAACAUUAAUAAAUGACCAAACAUUAACUUUUUCACUUCACUUUACUCUUUCACUGCACUUUCUUCGUUCAGCUUUCCUCCUUCACAUUUUCAUCCAGAUUUUCGAUGAACCAAAGAGAUGAUGAACCAAGCUGAAGAGAGGUGAAGAUAGCUGAAGAACCGAUUCUCCUUUCUGAUACACGCUGAAGAGUUGAGUUGAAGAGUUGCAGUCAUCAAAGAACUCAUAUCUCAAGUCGUCUUCUCCAAAUAACAAUUUUUUGAAGAGCAAGAAUGAAUAUUUUUGGGUUGUUGGCAAGAUGAUGAAUUGAAGCUAAUUAGUCUCUCUGUCACACUUUUCUCUCAAGUUUCUCACUGAAGAACACAAUUUCAAACAGAUUUUGUUGGAGUAGGUUUUAUCAGUUUUCCCAAUCUUUGUUCGAGUUCGUGAUUCUGCCCGGAAUUCUCAUCCGUUGUUAGUGUUCAAGUUUCUUGGUGAAGAUCGUUUCCCUGCUCGUCCCGUUCCAGUUCACUGCCUGAAGAAAGAUAUCAAAUAUCGGUCUAUCUUCUGGAGGGGGUUGUUGGUUUGUAAACGCAAAUUUUCCCCCUGCUUGGCCACAAAUGAUUCUGUAAAUAGGGAAAUGGAGGUGAUCAAAUUUGAAGGGUCCCUACAAGUAAAUUUGAUCUCAUUGAAGUGGAUUAUGAAGAUUUUUUGAACUAUUAUAAAAGUUUAAAUACAUUAUGUUUGAUUUGUGAAAUAUAUUCUUUGCUAGAAUAUAUUGAACUAUUGUAAGAGUACUUUUUGAACAAUUGUGUACACAUAUUUAUAAUAGUUGUAUAAGUAUGUGUAAGUACACAAGACGUACUAUCUUUUGAAGCUUAUUGCAUAUCUAUAUAUUUGAAUUUCUUAUGAGCCAA